Molecule: non-coding RNA, 45 nt
Filed under: unclassified sequences
Description: SAM-SAH-Weickhmann-2018 RNA
Rfam family: SAM/SAH riboswitch aptamer
Source: RNAcentral
CCGUCACAACGGCUUCCUGGCGUGACGGGGUAAAUCAAUGGAGCA